GAUGAACGCUAGCGGCAGGCUUAACACAUGCAAGUCGAGGGGCAGCAUUUCUUUCGAGAAGAUGGCGACCGGCGCACGGGUGCGUAACGCGUAUACAAUCUACCUUGUACAUGAGGAUAGGCUUUAGAAAUGAAGAUUAAUACUCAAUAGUUUAUACAGUAGGCAUCUACCGUAUAUUAAAGGAAAUUUCUGGUACAAGAUGAGUAUGCGUCCUAUUAGCUAGAUGGCAAGGUAACAGCUUCCCAUGGCAACGAUAGGUAGGGGGUCUGAGAGGAUUAUCCCCCACACUGGUACUGAGACACGGACCAGACUCCUACGGGAGGCAGCAGUGAGGAAUCUUGGUCAAUGGGCGAUAGCCUGAACCAGCCAUGCCGCGUGCAGGAAGACAGCCUUAUGGGUUGUAAACUGCUUUUAUACGAGAAGAAUAUAUUCGACGUGUCGAGUUUUGACGGUAUCGUAUGAAUAAGCACCGGCUAACUCCG
Molecule: ribosomal RNA, 482 nt
Filed under: uncultured Flavobacteriaceae bacterium
Lineage: Bacteria; Pseudomonadati; Bacteroidota; Flavobacteriia; Flavobacteriales; Flavobacteriaceae
Description: bacterial SSU rRNA
Rfam family: Bacterial small subunit ribosomal RNA
Source: RNAcentral